AGAGUUUGAUCCUGGCUCAGAUUGAACGCUGGCGGCAGGCCUAACACAUGCAAGUCGAGCGGCAGCACAGAGGAACUUGUUCCUUGGGUGGCGAGCGGCGGACGGGUGAGUAAUGCCUAGGAAAUUGCCCUGAUGUGGGGGAUAACCAUUGGAAACGAUGGCUAAUACCGCAUGAUGCCUACGGGCCAAAGAGGGGGACCUUCGGGCCUCUCGCGUCAGGAUAUGCCUAGGUGGGAUUAGCUAGUUGGUGAGGUAAUGGCUCACCAAGGCGACGAUCCCUAGCUGGUCUGAGAGGAUGAUCAGCCACACUGGAACUGAGACACGGUCCAGACUCCUACGGGAGGCAGCAGUGGGGAAUAUUGCACAAUGGGCGCAAGCCUGAUGCAGCCAUGCCGCGUGUAUGAAGAAGGCCUUCGGGUUGUAAAGUACUUUCAGUCGUGAGGAAGGUGGUGUUGUUAAUAGCAGCAUCAUUGACGUAGCGAACCAGASGCACCGGUUAAAUCUCAACCAGCAGCCGCGGUAAUAC
Molecule: ribosomal RNA, 526 nt
Filed under: Vibrio anguillarum
Lineage: Bacteria; Pseudomonadati; Pseudomonadota; Gammaproteobacteria; Vibrionales; Vibrionaceae
Description: bacterial SSU rRNA
Rfam family: Bacterial small subunit ribosomal RNA
Source: RNAcentral